GAAAUGCGAUAAGUGAUGUGAAUUGCAGAAUUCCGUGAAUCAUCGAAUCUUUGAACGCACAUUGCGCCCUCUGGCAUUCCGGGGGGCAUGCCUGUCCGAGCGUCAUUACGCACCCUCAAGCCCGGCUUGUGUGAUGGGCCCUGGCGUCUCGUUCGCGAGACGGGCCCGAAAGGCAGCGGCGGCGUCGACCCGAUGAGCCCGAGCGUAUGGGGACUUUUGUCACACGUUUGCGGUGCGGACCGGCGCCUGCUUGACUUUUCUGAUUAUCCAGGUUGACCUCGGAUCAGGUAGGGAUACCCGCUGAACUUAAGC
Molecule: unclassified non-coding RNA, 312 nt
Filed under: plant metagenome
Description: partial contains 5.8S ribosomal RNA, internal transcribed spacer 2, and large subunit ribosomal RNA
Rfam family: 5.8S ribosomal RNA (bases 1-105)
Source: RNAcentral